GCCUGGGUGGCUCCGUCAGUGAAGCGUCUGACUUCAGCUCAGGUCAUGAUCUCACAGUCCAUGGGUUCGAGCCCCACCUCGGGCU
This 85-nucleotide transfer RNA is filed under the name Felis catus (domestic cat). It matches the Rfam family "tRNA". From Rfam's summary of the family: Transfer RNA (tRNA) molecules are approximately 80 nucleotides in length. Their secondary structure includes four short double-helical elements and three loops (D, anti-codon, and T loops). Further hydrogen bonds mediate the characteristic L-shaped molecular structure. tRNAs have two regions of fundamental functional importance: the anti-codon, which is responsible for specific mRNA codon recognition, and the 3' end, to which the tRNAs corresponding amino acid is attached (by aminoacyl-tRNA synthetases). tRNAs cope with the degeneracy of the genetic code in two manners: having more than one tRNA (with a specific anti-codon) for a particular amino acid; and 'wobble' base-pairing, i.e. permitting non-standard base-pairing at the 3rd anti-codon position. Lineage: Eukaryota; Metazoa; Chordata; Mammalia; Carnivora; Felidae. The record is from Rfam by way of RNAcentral.